RNAcentral lists this long non-coding RNA (536 nucleotides) under Nicotiana benthamiana. RNAcentral describes it as "long non-coding RNA (NBEN_LNC007145)". The record is from RNAcentral. Lineage: Eukaryota; Viridiplantae; Streptophyta; Magnoliopsida; Solanales; Solanaceae.
UUCUAUUUUCCUUACCAAUUGUCCAAUUCCCAAAUCACAUUCCAGCGGCAGCAACUCAAUUACUCAAAAUGUGUUCUUCAAAUUCAAUGCCUUUAUUUUAAGCAACCACUCAAAAUUAAAAGCUAGUUUUAACUUCUUCACCUAUUUUCACUCCAUUGCAACAGGUAUUUUGAUUUCCUUCCUCUUCUUUUUUUUUUAUUGUUUUCCUCUCAUGAAUAGAGAGGGUUUUGAGAAAAUAAAUAGCUAAAGCAAUGAAUGGUGAAACUGUAUAGAUUGUGAUUGGAUAGUUCUUACUUCUUAAUUAGUUAGUUAUCUUGAUAUCUAAGAGAAAAAAUAAAAAAAAUACUGUGGAAUAAUUUAUUUAAUUUGUUUCUUAUGAUUUAUAGAAUAUUUUAGUAAGAGCCAAGAUGAUCAAGAGAUUUUUCAAGCUGCAAACCUCUUCAGGUUCUAUUUCUAGUUCUCCUUUAUGUCCAGUGGUCAAUAAUAAUGUCAAUUCUUCUCAAUCAUCACACCUACAUGGGCGGAUCUAACAGUUA